ACGAAGGGGGCUAGCGUUGUUCGGAUUUACUGGGCGUAAAGCGCACGUAGGCGGAUCUUUAAGUCAGGGGUGAAAUCCCGAGGCUCAACCUCGGAACUGCCUUUGAUACUGGAGAUCUUGAGUCCGGGAGAGGUGAGUGGAACUGCGAGUGUAGAGGUGAAAUUCGUAGAUAUUCGCAAGAACACCAGUGGCGAAGGCGGCUCACUGGCCCGGAACUGACGCUGAGGUGCGAAAGCGUGGGGAGCAAACAGG
RNAcentral lists this ribosomal RNA (252 nucleotides) under uncultured bacterium. Its description in RNAcentral is "partial 16S ribosomal RNA". It matches the Rfam family "Bacterial small subunit ribosomal RNA", at positions 525 to 776 of the family's 1533-position model. The record is from RNAcentral.